This is a long non-coding RNA of Physella acuta, 5345 nucleotides long. RefSeq lists it as uncharacterized. Lineage: Eukaryota; Metazoa; Mollusca; Gastropoda; Physidae. The record is from RefSeq and is a predicted model, not a curated record.
AUUGUUUUACAUUCAAGUUAGGUGUAUCUGUAGGGGUAGAUGUAUAUGUAGGGUUAGUGUUAGGUAUACAUUAGGUGGUGGUGGUGGUCAUAUUGAAGCUUACAAGUAUAAGACAGCAACAGCAAGUCCACCUUAGUGAAGGAGCAGUGCUAGACAAUGUUAGAGCCAUUCAAGUUACACAAUUGUGCAUUUAUCAAUAUGAACAAUUCCAUUUUCAACAAAGUCUUUCUUAUGUCAAGAUUCUUUGUAUCCAGAUGUACAUCUUGCCCUCCAUUUUUGCUUGGUCUUUGAGCUCACCUUUCCUUGACAUGUACCUGACUUGGUCCUUCCCUCCAGCCUACUCUAGCCCUACUGCUGGCUGAGAAUGAAAUCCAAAAUUACAACUUGUCAAACUUUGGCAUUUGAUUUCAGUUAUUUAGCUGUACCUUUGAUUUCCUACCCCAGCAACUGGGAGGUGUUCAAUGACCAAGCCUACUUAGUGCCCCAAACAAAAGAAAGGCUCAACUUGUGUUUUUUUUUCAUUGGCCAUUCACAUACUCUUAUACUUGAUGUCUUUUUAAUCUGUAAAUGUCCAAUUGUAUUUAGUGUUAUAAACCAAAUAAUUGUGCCAUUCUUUUGUUGGAUUGAUGGUUAGACUAUUUUUUAAUGAUUUCAUCUGAUGGUUUUAUUAGGCUUUCUAAUGUUUUUGAGCCUAUCAGAGUUAACUGUUAAAGUUCAACUUGUAUGGUAGCCUGUUUGAAUCAAUAUAUACAUUUUUGAAACCAACUUGAUGAAUACUUAGUAGUGAUAGUAGUUCUGUAGAGUAAGUUUUGGCACGAAAGUAAACAUGUUAUUCUAUUUGAAAAUCCUUGCAAUUAGUACUAAGAAAUGUGCCCCAAUUUAGUGUCAAAUACAUUGUAGCAUGUAAAUUAGGAUGCCUUUAAAAUACUUUUUUUUACAAGAGCAGAUAACUGAUUAUUCUAUGUACUCAUGGAAUGUAUUUUUAUUCUAAUCAAAUCAAGCUAUAUAUGAGUAACUCUCAGUAACCAGCCAUAAUCAGUCUGUAACAGAGAACUGAUAUUUUAUGCUGAUGUAGCCAUGUUUCCUAAACUAUUAUAUUAUUAAGUAUUGUGGUUGUUUAUUUCAAAAGAGGAAAUUCUUUUCUAUUCAAGUGUGGGAAGGGCUAUUUUUUCAAUUUGUGUUUGGAGGUUUCUUAUCUUUGUUGUUAGAUGCUUGUUUUUAUUCAUUGAUUUGGACAAUUUGUUCAGUGCCUCAUGAAAUUUCUUUUUAAAUUUCUUUCUCCGGCUGUUGGUUGAAUUGAUUAGGUCUGGAAUGUGCAUACUUUCAACUGUGAAUUAGAAUUUGGAAAUAAUAUGUUGCAAUGUUAGUCACAAAAAUUGAAGUAUUGAGGUAAAAAAUUCUUGGGCAUAACCUUGCGGAUGGAUCUGCUACUAUUAAUAUCCAUUUUCCUCCAUGUUUUUAUCACCACUGACUUGUACUUUAUAUAGUGUAUCAAGUUGCAUAUUUACUUGUAGCUCAAAUAUUGUUUUUUAAAAGAAAAUUUUUAAAAUUUGCAGAGAAUUGUUACUAUGAAUACUUGUCAUAUUCUUCUGAUAUUUUAUUCCAACUUUGUCUAGGGUGAGUUGUCUAUUUACUAUUGUGCUGGUGUAAUGUAUCUUUCCAUCUUGUGGUAACUGUUAGUUUAUUAUGACAAUAUUAUCUCCAUUAUUAUACACUGUUUCUAUACAUGAAUGAUUAUGUUUAUUCUAUUCUGAUGUCAUCUUAGUGUGCUGGUGAAAUAUGAGUGUAUAUAUACAAUUCUUUUUCCAGUGGUACAUGUCUUAUCUCUAUUUUUAUCACCAUGGAACUAAUUUUGUAGCUGUGUUUUGAUUGGAUGAGCCAUGUUGAUGUAUUAACAUUAGUUGUUUUAUUAGCACUAUUGUUUUCUAUCUGUCCCUACAUGGGAACACAUUGAUGCUGCGUGAUUUGAUUGUAUAGCGACAACAAGUUGACCGAGAAAUGCAUUACUUUUCUAUUUAUAACUUUGAUAUUCCAAAAUUACCAAUUAGACUGUUGAUAUAUACACAACACCUGCGCAUGGUGGCGCAUAAUCUGUAACUAUGUUACAUUUUAGAUUUCAUUUUGAUUGAACUCUAUUUUGUUCCCUACAAAGCUUUAUAAGAAAGAGUCCACAAGAAUAUAUUUAUACUGCUUAACAUUUCUUUUCUACAAGUCAGGCCUCACAAAUAUCCUAAUGGAUUGGGUCUACAAAUGUUGGAGCUCGUUUAGUUCUUUGCUUUGCACGUUUGGCUUGAAGGCUUUUUUAUUUAAUUUUUUUUUUCAUGAACAUGAUCAACGCAACGGCAUAAUGUUAAAGAUCUCUUCUCCCCCCCCCCUCCUCUUCAGCUCUUUGUUUCAUUAUACUAAUUAAGUAUUCUAGUUGCUUAAAUAAGUAUUCUAGUUACUUAUAAAAAUGCUAGUUCCUAAUAUUUGAAAUGAAAUUGAGUAGCUGUCGAUGAAUUAAGUUAGAUUUAUAUUUUUUUAAAGUUAAUUUUUAGGAAAACUUAACAUUCCAUAGCUAAUGAAGUUUCUUGAUAAGUAUUUUAGUGAUUGAAAAUAUUUUCAAAGAAAAGAAAUGCUCUGUUGCUAGAGAUCUGCAUAUGUAUUCAUUUGAUGUUAGUUCCUCAUCUUAAAAGUAUUUGAUUUAUAGCUAGUAGAAAUAUUUUUAAAACAGAGACUUAGAACUAGAGAAGUACUGGUCAUAGGGACAAAGUUGUGUUAGCAUGUGUUUCAAACAGCACAGUGUCUACCAUGUACUGGUCAUAGGGACAAAGUUGUGUUAGCAUGUGUUUCAAACAGCACAGUGUCUACCAUGUACUGCAAAGCAUGUUUGUCAAGCAUUGAUCACAUGACUGGCUAGCCAAUGAUAAAUUAGCACAGCAACUAGCUCUUGUUUGGUACUGACUGCUUUUGCUUAUUUAACAUAUGCAUUCUUUGACCCUCUUGACAGCAUCCACUCAUAUCUUCUGGAACAGAUUCCAUCAAAUUAAAAUUCAGUUAAAGCCCAUACAAGUUUGGUUUAAACAAUGCUAAGGUCAUCCAAUGAGAUGGUUACUUUAGCUUUUCAUUAUGCAUUCAACUUUUGUUUUUAGAAAAACUUUCUUUUUUAACUAAGCAUACAUUUUUAAAAAAAAUUUUUAUCCAUGCUAAUGCUACAUAUCAACUGAAGCUAUUGGGAACAGAAGCUGAAGUAGUAUCAAAAAAAGCUUCAUCAUCUUGCUUUUUGUAGUUGCUGUUUUUUUAUAUUACAUAUUUACCCCCAUUAGUGAUACUAAAUUCUGGUCCCAAUUUUUAUUUGCUUGAUUGUAUUGUACAUAUGAGUAACUUCUAAUUGGGUGUAGUAUCUUUGUUCUUUCCUGUGGACCCCGUCAUGUGAAAUUUAAGAAAAUAAAGGGAUAUACAUAUUUUAUUUGGCUUAUUAAUAAAUACUUUGUCAUUUUCUUCAAACCAAUAAACUUGGCGAUAGUUGUUGAUAUGUUGUUUCUAUGGCUUUUUUUUAUCCUUUCUUCUAUGCUUGCUUUGAAUAUACUUGCAUGUUACUCCAUUGCGCUCUUGAUUACAAAAAUUAAGUGUCUUUUUAGUGCCUACACUACAAGCAAUCACACAAAUAUUUCCAUCUUUACAGAAAAAUAUAUCACUUUUGUAAUACCAAUGUGUUCUUUUCCAAGACAACUUCUUCAAGUUUUGUUUAGCCAUGUAAAAUACAACUGACAGCACAGCUUGAGUCUGUUAGCCUCAAGUGCUUCACCUUUAGCACUCUGGUUUGGUAGUACUGGCUUUUUCUGACUAGAGUUAGAACUCAAUAAUCUUACAGCUUUAUUAUUACUAGCAUAGCCUAUUUCAUUCCUAAUUAAGUUUGAUGAUUUUAAACCUUGUAACUUGCUUACAAAAUUUUUUUUUCAUUCUGUUAGCUCAAGUUUGACAACCUUCUAAACUCUCUUCACCAUGACUCAACAAAAAUUGACUGUCUGACCAACAAUUUGUACUCAACAAAAAUAAAUUGACUGUCUGACCAACAAUUUGUACUCAACAAAAAUAAAUUGACUGUCUGACCAAAAAUUUGUACUCAACAACACUUACCUGACCAAACACCUACCCAUUUUUACUGACUGUCCCAUAAAGUUGGGAAACUGGCAGAAGCAAGAACCUGAAUGACCUGUGGUUCUAUCUGACCUUUUCCAGCUGACCAGAGGGUGCAGCACUGCCAUUAUGCCACACACUGACUGAACAGUGACCUUUCACAUUAUACCACACACUGACUGAACAGGGAAGUAGUUUCACAUUAUUCCACACUAUGACUGAAUAGUGACCUACCUUUCACAAUAUUCCAGCUUGCUUACACGUAUGCUGCUUGCUAGUGUUUAAUGCCUAUUUUAAACAUUUUUUUUUCCUUUUGCGCAUAGGAUAAAUCACUUGUCACUACGCAAUUAAGUUUUGUUUAUUUCUUAAAACAAACUACCCUUUUUCAAAAUGGUGCUGAGGUUAAUGGCUCAAGAGAAACCAUUAGUCCUUUUCAUAUAUUUUUAUCUUUUUUUUUUUUUUUUACCAUACCUAACCCAAUGAAAGCAUAUUAUGUUUAUAUAAUAUAUAUUUGAUAUAUGAUCUCCAAACUUUGAACUUACAAUUGAACUAGUAAAAAAGUAUUGAGUAGUGUUCCUACAGUUAAAUGUCCUGCUCCCAGUUCCUUGGAUCGGUGUGGCUUUGCCAUGCAAUAUGUUCAACAGACAUUUUUACAAGACAAAAAUCUUUUAGUAUUGUGAUUUAUUAUUUAUCAAAAUACACGUCAAGCCAUGUCAUGUUAUAUAAAGUCAUGUCAUGUUAUAUUUUUGUUAAGCCCUCCCCAGAAUCUUUCAAAAAGUAUUGUUGAUGAGUACUACAUCAGUCUUAGGUGAGAGACUAGCCAAACACAUUACACAAACACUAGCACUACACAUAACACAUCUGAAACCAUUCAAAAUGGCAGAUGUUUUUGAAGGCAUUUAUUUUUGGGGAAUGGGGACCAACCAGUAACUGGUGGAAUGUCUGUUUUACCCAUUUGUCUGAAUCUGCAGACAUUUAAAUACAACAUUAAUUGAUACCAUUGGUAUAGAGAUUGCUAGGAUCAAACUUACCUUUGAACUUUUUCUAAUUUUGACCAUUGAAGAAAUAAUACAACAAUGAUGUGAUAACGACCUGUCAAACAUCUGUUUUCUUUCAACAUAAAUACAUACUGUCUGUCAUAUUUUUCAUAUUGUUAUUUACAGGAAGGUCCUUCACACAUUUUAUUUUUCUUUUUCUGUGUAAUAAACAUUUGUUAUGAAUUUGAA